This 2591-nucleotide long non-coding RNA is filed under the name Homo sapiens (human). RNAcentral's name for it is "MIR3976 host gene, transcript variant 4 (MIR3976HG)". The record is from RNAcentral. Lineage: Eukaryota; Metazoa; Chordata; Mammalia; Primates; Hominidae.
AACUCUCUCUCUUUCUGAUUGAGUGUAAGCUGCUAUAUGAAGGGAUCCACAAGACGAAUAAUUAAGGGGGACCUCUGAUCAACAGCCAGCAAGGAACUGAAUCCCUCAGACCCACAACUCACAAGAAACUGAAGCUGAAGCAGAUUCUUCCUCAGUCAAGCUUCAGGUGCCCAGCUGUAUUGGUAGAGGAGACCAACCACACCCUCCACAGCACAGCACCUGGAGAGGAACUGCUGCCAUGACCAUAGAGGACACCCUCUGGAUACAAUGCCAGACUUGAUGUGGGACUGACCAACCUAUGGACCCCAGGCACCACCACCCAGACCUGCUCAGCACCUGAAACAUUCACAGCCGUGGAGAGAGAACUGUUCACUGCUACCAUCCACACUUCUGGGCCCCUUCAGCAGCAGGGUGACAAGGAAGAGGGAAAUCGACUUGGAAAAGAGGGGACCUCUGACCCAAGAGUUCGGUCAAUGCAUAUGUUGGCAGCCAGCUGCACAUCGCACCAAAUAUGAACUUCAAAUAGAAGAAAGCCUCAUUUGGAAGAAAGCUCAUGCACAGACUGUAAAUAUUUCAGAGCAGAUUGUGUCUCUGUAGAUUAACCGGAUACAGUGGCUUGCACCUGUGGUCUCAGCGACUUGGGCGACUGAAGCAAGAAGAUCACUUGAGCCUAGGAGUUCGAGGCUACAGCAAGCUAUGACCGUGCCACUGCACUCCAGCCUGGGCGUGACAGACCAGCUCUUCUUCUGAAGGAUGACCACCUGGAAUAAGAGCAGCCCUAGGCCCCCCACCUCACUCCAGGUGGCAGAUCCACAGAGAUGGUAGCGAUACAGAAGCACAGCUUCCGAUGGCUUCCCCGUGUCUUCAGUUUGCAGCCUUAUUUCGGUGCUUGGACGUGCUUAACUUCUCAGGAUUAUAUUCUGCUUUGGAGUGCAAGGAGAAAGUCACAGUCUAGUUUUAUGAAGACCAAACUAGAGAAAAUCGAGUUAUCUUAAAGUGUAUGACAUCUCCACAAAUGAAUGUUUAUGGCUUUACACUUGGAGUGUUCUUGGAACACUCUUCAUAGCAAAUCCUCCCUCAGAAGACCCCCACCUGGCAUCAGAACAAACCGGUAAGAAUGAUCCUACUUCAAUAGAGUUGCUGUGAGGAUUCACUGAGAUCAUGUGUACCAAGCUCCUACAAUAGUACUGAACCCACAGCCAUGGAUCAAGACCAUUAACUUAUAAUCAGUGAUAGCCAAGAGGAUGGGAAGAGAAUAUUAAGCCUGGUGCUCUGCAAAUUAAUACUUGCAGGUUGGGAAGCCAGAUAUCCACAUUAUCUCACAUCACAUCACUGAGCUCUGUGGCCCAGUUCUGACUACAUGUUAGAAGCAGAAGUCUGCAGGGGAUGGCUUCUGAGAAAACUUGUAUUUAUUAUUUAAAUUUAACCUUCUAGCCUGGGAAUAAAUUCCAGCUUGCUUAGAACAAUACAGCACAGAAGAGAGCCUGAGUUCCUGGUGCAUCCCUGUGCCAGUGUCUCAAUCCUGCCCCACCGAUUUCCAAUUUCUUAUUAUGUGAAAAGCAACCCUCCCUUCUUUGAUUAAGUCAUUAUUGAUAGGGUUUUUUUGGUGACUUGCAUCCAAAUGCAUUCCUUAACUCAAACAAAAUAGAAGGGGAAUUCCACAUUCACACUGUUGCAUCAGACAAGCUCUGGCUUCUCAGAACUUUAGUUUUCCAUUUACUAGAGCUCAGAAUCAAAGAGACAGUAAAGAAACCCAUUUAAAAAUUGCUUGGCAUAUAUAUCUUGGGUGAUGGGACUUCAUGGGUAAUAUUUUUAAAAUUUCUUUGUGUAUUUUUCUUUUAUUGUCAAACGUUAUUAAAGAGACCAUAGAUACCUUUUGUAAUUAUAAUAAAAAACAAAAUGUUACUAAGAACAGUGAGAACUCUUAAGCUAACUACAAGAUAAUUAAUAUAUAACUGCAAAAUAUAAAAUACCAAAGCCAUUUUCAAAUAAAGAAACAGAGCCACAUGAAACUUUGCAGUUUAGCCAAAGUCAUUUCAGGAUUCUGAAGCUGGGGAGGAAGCAAGGCUUACUUAGCCCGUGGCUAGAAUUCACUUUUGAAAACUCCAUUUUUGUCCAUUCCCUCUUAUCACUACUUGCUUGCAAGUUAGGAAACAAAUUAGAACAAAAGCAUUGUUUGUCGUCAGUGGUCAAUGUUCAUUGCUUUACCAGAGGCUCGGGAUUAGAAGAUUCUCAGAACCAGUUAGCUCCUGAUACAAUCGGGCCUUGAUAUGGUUUGGAUUUGUGUCCCCACCCAAAUCUCAUGUCGAAUUAGAGGAGGGGCCUGGUGGGAGGUGAUUGGAUCAUGGGGGCAGAUUUCCCUCUUGCUGUUCUCAUGAUAGUGACUGAGUUCUCAAAGAUCUUAGGGUUUAAAACUUUUGUGGCACUUCCAUCUUCGCUCUCUCUUCCUCUCUCAUGCUGCCAUGUGAAGAAGGUGCCUGCUUCCCCUUUGCUUUCUGCCAUGAUUGUACGUUUCCUGAGGCCUCCCAGUUGUGCUUCCUGAUAAGCCUAUGGAACUGUGAGUCAAUUAAAUCUCUUUUCUAUAUAAAUAA